AUUGAACGCUGGCGGCAGGCCUAACACAUGCAAGUCGAGCGGAUGAAGGGAGCUUGCUCCUGGAUUCAGCGGCGGACGGGUGAGUAAUGCCUAGGAAUCUGCCUGGUCGUGGGGGAUAACGUCCGGAAACGGGCGCUAAUACCGCAUACGUCCUGAGGGCGAAAGUGGGGGUUCUUCGGACCUCAGGCUAUCAGAUGAGCCUAGGCCGGAUUAGCUAGUUGGUGGGUUAAAGGCCUACAAAGGCGACGAUCCGUAACUGGUCUGAGAGGAUGAUCAGUCACACUGGAACUGAGACACGGUCCAGACUCCUACGGGAGGCAGCAGUGGGGAAUAUGGGGCAAUGGGCGAAAGCCUGAUCCAGCCAUGCCGCGUGUGUGAAGAAGGUCUUCGGAUUGUAAAGCACUUUAAGUUGGGAGGAAGGGCAGUAAGUUAAUACCUUGCUGUUUUGACGUUACCAACAGAAUAAGCACCGGCUAACUUCGUG
This 484-nucleotide ribosomal RNA is filed under the name uncultured bacterium. RNAcentral describes it as "partial 16S ribosomal RNA". It matches the Rfam family "Bacterial small subunit ribosomal RNA", at positions 30 to 507 of the family's 1533-position model. The record is from RNAcentral.